Molecule: ribosomal RNA, 518 nt
Filed under: Acanthonyx petiverii
Lineage: Eukaryota; Metazoa; Arthropoda; Malacostraca; Decapoda; Epialtidae
Description: partial 16S ribosomal RNA
Rfam family: Archaeal large subunit ribosomal RNA
Source: RNAcentral
GUCCAUAUGAAAAUUAUAUAUGGUCCGGCCUGCUCACUGAGUAAAACUUAAAGAGCCGCGGUACUUUGACCGUGCAAAGGUAGCAUAGUCAUUAGUUUUUUAAUUGAAAACUUGUAUGAAUGGUUAAACAAAAGAAAAACUGUCUCUUCGUUAAAACUUGAACUUUACUUUUAAGUGAAAAGGCUUAAAUUUUUUAGGGGGACGAUAAGACCCUAUAAAGCUUAAUGAUUAAAAGUUAAAUUUUUUGAUGUAACUUAUAAAAUUAAAUUAAAUAAAAUCAUUUUGUUGGGGCGACACAGGUAUAAAUAAAUAUAACUGCCAGAUUUUUAACCAUAAUUUCAUGAUAUAAUAAUGAUCCUAUAUAAAGAUUAAAAGAUUAAGUUACUUUAGGGAUAACAGCGUAAUUCUUUUUAAGAGUUCUUAUUGAAAAAAGAGUUUGCGACCUCGAUGUUGAAUUAAAAAUCCUUUAUGGUGCAGCAGCUAUAACAGGAGGUCUGUUCGACCUUUAAAAUUUUACA